Long non-coding RNA from Anas platyrhynchos (mallard), 225 nucleotides. RefSeq lists it as uncharacterized. The record is from RefSeq and is a predicted model, not a curated record. NCBI's taxonomy places the organism in Eukaryota, Metazoa, Chordata, Aves, Anseriformes, Anatidae.
CCCCGCGGCUUCAAACUGUCCGGCGGGAGCGAUGGCGGCGGAGGCUGCGGCUGCACCCCCCCGGCGGGUUCAGGUCUGCGUCCGCCUGCGCCCCGGCCCCCCCGGUGAGGAGCCCUGCCUGCUGCCCCUCGACUGCCACACCCUGCAGCUGCGUGAGGACCCCCCCCACGCCCCCUCCUGCUACCGCUUCGAUGCUGUUUACGCCGCCGCCAGCUCCACCGCCGC